CCACUUUCUAGCCCUAUCUAUCAGGCCAAUCCCAUAUCUCAUAAAUCGAUAAUAUAACUCAAGUAAAUCAUAUAUAUCAGGUCAAUCCCAUAACUCAGGUGACUACCCAUCUCGGGCGAUGUAACUUACACAAGGCUUUGCCGGGAAAAUCACAUGUGACCCCGUGCGCACCUCACUGGUGUCAGUAAUUGCCACACGAUAUGCUCAAAGCAUGCCAAGUAAUCACAUAAUAGUCACAGUAUCCAACUACCAAAAGGGGACCCAUGGUUUACUGCCCAUAUAGAUCUUGGGGGCGCAACCCUCCCAAUUAUUCACAUUCACAUCCUGACUCUCGUCCUAUCAUGGGGGAGUUAGGGAAAGAUCUUAGCUGUCAGC
RNAcentral lists this long non-coding RNA (375 nucleotides) under Amborella trichopoda. RNAcentral's name for it is "long non-coding RNA (ATRI_LNC002318)". The record is from RNAcentral. Lineage: Eukaryota; Viridiplantae; Streptophyta; Magnoliopsida; Amborellales; Amborellaceae.